AGUGAACGCUGGCGGUAGGCCUAACACAUGCAAGUCGAACGGCAGCACAGUAAGAGCUUGCUCUUACGGGUGGCGAGUGGCGGACGGGUGAGGAAUACAUCGGAAUCUACUUUUUCGUGGGGGAUAACGUAGGGAAACUUACGCUAAUACCGCAUACGACCUACGGGUGAAAGCAGGGGAUCUUCGGACCUUGCGCGAUUGAAUUAGCCGAUGACGGAUUAGCUAGUUGGCGGGUUAAAGGCCCACCAAGGCGAGGAUCCGUAGCUGGUCUGAGAGGAUGAUCAGCCACACUGGAACUGAGACACGGUCCAGACUACUACGGGAGGCAGCAGUGGGGAAUAUUGGACAAUGGGCGCAAGCCUGAUCCAGCCAUACCGCGUGGGUGAAGAAGGCCUUCGGGUUGUAAAGCCCUUUUGUUGGGAAAGAAAAGCAGCAGGUUAAUACCCCGCUGUUCUGACGGUACCCAAAGAAUAAGCACCGGCUAACUUCGUG
RNAcentral lists this ribosomal RNA (492 nucleotides) under uncultured bacterium. RNAcentral describes it as "partial 16S ribosomal RNA". It matches the Rfam family "Bacterial small subunit ribosomal RNA", at positions 29 to 507 of the family's 1533-position model. The record is from RNAcentral.